RNAcentral lists this ribosomal RNA (465 nucleotides) under Triticum aestivum (bread wheat). Its description in RNAcentral is "partial small subunit ribosomal RNA". The record is from RNAcentral. Lineage: Eukaryota; Viridiplantae; Streptophyta; Magnoliopsida; Poales; Poaceae.
AUGCCAGCUAAGGAACUUCUCGAGGUGAUCAAUGUGUGUUGUGAAUUCUAUAGCUGGGUCACACCAGGCAUCAUAGCGGCUAGACAUCAGCUGCUAGACAUAUACGAUACAGCUACGCAGCACCAGAUUCAUCAGGUGAGGGAGCAGCUUCGGCAGCUGAAGAACGACCUUUGGAAGCUCCGGACAACUGUGGUGCCCAAGAUGCUUGACCUCAUUGACCGCGUCGAGUGGCAGAGCCAUAAGAAACCAGAAGCAGACCUACUCCCAGACAUCAAGGAUGCAGUGUACGAUGCUGAUGACCUCCUUGAUGAAUUUAAUUAUUAUGCAAUGAAGUUGGGGGUUGAGCAGAGCAAGAAUUCGGGGCAAGAUCACAUGGAAGGUGCCUUUCUGCGGUUCUACAGAAGUAUCAAGGAUUGUGCCCACUUUAGCAAAGCGAAAGAAAUACAAGCUAGAUCAUAUCUAUGA